GACGAACGCUGGCGGCGUGCUUAACACAUGCAAGUCGAACGGAAAGGCCCUGCUUUUGUGGGGUGCUCGAGUGGCGAACGGGUGAGUAACACGUGAGUAACCUGCCCUUGACUUUGGGAUAACUUCAGGAAACUGGGGCUAAUACCGGAUAGGAGCUCCUGCUGCAUGGUGGGGGUUGGAAAGUUUCGGCGGUUGGGGAUGGACUCGCGGCUUAUCAGCUUGUUGGUGGGGUAGUGGCUUACCAAGGCUUUGACGGGUAGCCGGCCUGUGAGGGUGACCGGACACAUUGGGACUGAGAUACGGCCCAGACUCCUACGGGAGGCAGCAGUGGGGAAUAUUGCACAAUGGGCGGAAGCCUGAUGCAGCAACGCCGCGUGCGGGAUGACGGCCUUCGGGUUGUAAACCGCUUUCGCCUGUGACGAAGCGUGAGUGACGGUAAUGGGUAAAGAAGCACCGGCUAACUACGUG
Molecule: ribosomal RNA, 468 nt
Filed under: uncultured bacterium
Lineage: Bacteria
Description: partial 16S ribosomal RNA
Rfam family: Bacterial small subunit ribosomal RNA
Source: RNAcentral